CUCUGCCUACGGGACGCAGCAGUAGGGAAUCUUCCACAAUGGGGGAAACCCUGAUGCAGCGACGCCGCGUGAAGGAAGAAGUAUUUCGGUAUGUAAACUUCUAUCAGCAGGGAAGAAAAUGACGGUACCUGACUAAGAAGCCCCGGCUAACUACGUGCCAGCAGCCGCGGUAAUACGUAGGGGGCAAGCGUUAUCCGGAUUUACUGGGUGUAAAGGGAGCGUAGGCGGUUUAGCAAGUCAGAAGUGAAAGCCCGGGGCUCAACUCCGGGACUGCUUUUGAAACUGUUGAACUAGAUUGCAGGAGG
Molecule: ribosomal RNA, 305 nt
Filed under: uncultured bacterium
Lineage: Bacteria
Description: bacterial SSU rRNA
Rfam family: Bacterial small subunit ribosomal RNA
Source: RNAcentral